RNAcentral lists this ribosomal RNA (436 nucleotides) under uncultured Alphaproteobacteria bacterium. RNAcentral's name for it is "bacterial SSU rRNA". It matches the Rfam family "Bacterial small subunit ribosomal RNA", at positions 29 to 509 of the family's 1533-position model. The record is from RNAcentral. Lineage: Bacteria; Pseudomonadati; Pseudomonadota; Alphaproteobacteria.
AACGUACGCUGGCGGCACGCCUAACACAUGCAAGUCGAACGAAGUAGCAAUACUUAGUGGCAGACGGGUGAGUAACAUGUAGGUAUCUGCCCUUUGGCCUGGAAUAACACGAGGAAACUUGUGCUAAUACCGGAUAAGUCUUUACGGAGAAAGCUUUAUGCACCAUUGGAUGAGCCUGCACUUGAUUAGUUUGUUGGUGGGGUAAUGGCCUACCAAGACUUUGAUCAAUAGCUGAUUUGAGAGGAUGAUCAGCCACAUUGGGACUGAGACACGGCCCAAACUCCUACGGGAGGCAGCAGUGGGGAAUCUUGCACAAUGGAGGAAACUCUGAUGCAGCGAUGCCGCGUGAGUGAAGAAGGCCCUUGGGUUGUAAAGCUCUUUCGUCGGGGAAGAAAAUGACUGUACCCGAAUAAGAAGGUCCGGCUAACUUCGUGCC